UGGAAACCACAUCAGUCCUAUAAUACUUUUCUUUUAGAGUUUAUUUUCUGAUGCCUUGUUCAAGAAUUUUAAGCUACCAUGCAGGCAAUGGUUGCAAAUUCAUGUGGAUGAGUACCCAUCAAUCAUUGCCGAAUCGAGCCGACCCGGUCUUCGACUGGGUCAGUUCUCCAAUGGAAAAUGGUUCCGACCCCUUAGGGGCCGAAAAUUGACGAAAUUGG
This 218-nucleotide long non-coding RNA is filed under the name Phoenix dactylifera (date palm). Its description in RNAcentral is "long non-coding RNA (PDAC_LNC005998)". Lineage: Eukaryota; Viridiplantae; Streptophyta; Magnoliopsida; Arecales; Arecaceae. The record is from RNAcentral.